RNAcentral lists this long non-coding RNA (17089 nucleotides) under Capsicum annuum. Its description in RNAcentral is "long non-coding RNA (CANN_LNC018310)". Lineage: Eukaryota; Viridiplantae; Streptophyta; Magnoliopsida; Solanales; Solanaceae. The record is from RNAcentral.
CACCAUCUCCUCCUCCACCUUAUUACUACAAGUCUCCACCUCCUCCAUCUCCAUCACCACCUUCACCAUACUACUACAAGUCUCCACCACCACCGCUUAAGUCACCUCCUCCCCCAUACUAUUACAGCUCUCCACCACCACCAGUGAAGUCUCCCCCUCCACCAUACUACUACUCCUCGCCACAACCACCAAAGAAAUCACCUCCCCCAUCAUAUCACUAUACUUCUCCACCACCACCUGUUAAGUCACCACCUCCUCCAUACUAUUACAGCUCCCCACCACCACCAAAGAAAUCACCUCCCCCAUCAUAUCACUAUACUUCUCCACCACCACCUGUUAAGUCACCACCUCCUCCAUACUAUUACAGCUCCCCAUCACCACCAAAGAAAUCACCUCCUCCGCCAUAUUACUACAGUUCCCCACCACCACCAGUGAAGUCACCUCCAACUCCAUACUACUACAAGUCUCCUCCACCACCACCAAAGAAAUCUUCUCCCCCACCAUACUACUACAAUUCACCACCACCACCAACUCAUUACUAUCCUCCACAUCAUCAAUUCGUGGUCAAAGUUGUCGGAAAAGUAUAUUGUUUUAGAUGUUACGACUGGAAGCACCCAGAGAUGUCUCACAGCAAGAAACACCUGAAAGGUAUCACAAUAUAAUUUAUACAACACUCGCAUUCCUUAUUUUCCUUUAAUAUAUCAUCAAAAAUAUAUUUAACUAUAUAUUUUCUUUUUUGUUGCUUUCUUCCUUACGCUCUUAAAAGAAUUCAUAAAUGUGUAUCUUUAUUUGGAUCUUUGAUCCAUUUCUGUUUUUCCAAAUGUGAAGUAACAUUAAAAUUUAAAGAGUCAAGAAAUUUUAUAAGGCAAGGACUAUAUCUAUAAUUGUGACUACAGAGUAAAACAUAUUGAAAAUGAAGGUACUCCGUUCUUUCUUGCAAAUGAAGAAUUAAUAUUGAGUGUGAUUCAUUCUCACAUUGGCUGACAAAAGUCUGUACACAUUGGCACACAAGUUGCCAUUAACAUGCAGUUUGUUUCCCUUAUUAGAUUACAAAAUAUUCUUUAUCGUGUGAUGAGAAGGUUUGUUUUAUUUCAUAUUAUGAGGUAAAAAGUGCUCGGAUCUAAAUGAUCAUCAUUAGUAUUGGAGUUAAUUAACGUUAAUUGUUACAUGAAUUAGGUGCUGUUGUUGAAGUCACUUGCAAGGCUGGUGACAAGAAAAUUGUGAGUUAUGGUACCACAAAGAUCAAUGGCAAAUUUAUCAUCACGGUUGAAGGAUUUGAAUAUCGCAAAUAUGGAGCAAAGGCUUGCAAGGCUAAACUCCACAAUGCUCCAAAGGAUUCAAAGUGUAGCAUUCCUACAAAUCUUCAUUGGGGAAUUAAGGGUGCUAACCUCAAAGUGAAAUCAAAGAAUAGUUAUGAAGUUGUACUUUAUGCAAAACCAUUUGCUUAUGGAUCUAAGACACCUUACGCAGAAUGCCAAAAGCCCAAGCCUACACCUGCUCCAUACUAUUAUAAAUCUCCUCCACCUCCAUCACCGACUUAUGUGUACAAGUCACCACCUCCUCCAUCACCAAAGUAUGUGUACAAGUCACCACCUCCCCCAACCCCGACAUAUGUUUAUAAGUCUCCACCACCACCUGCUUACUAUUACAAAUCACCGCCGCCACCAACUAAGUCUCCACCACCUCAUUAUUAUUACAAGUCUCCACCUCCACCAUCACCAAAACCUGCACCAGUAUACUAUUAUAAAUCACCACCACCCCCAUCACCGUCGCCACCCCCACCUUACUACUACAAGUCCCCGCCACCCCCAUCACCAAAACCUGCACCUGUUUACUAUUAUAAAUCACCACCACCCCCAUCACCGUCACCACCCCCACCUUACUACUACAAGUCCCCGCCACCCGCAUCACCAAAACCUGCACCUGUUUACUAUUAUAAAUCACCACCACCCCCAUCACCGUCACCACCCCCACCUUACUACUACAAGUCCCCACCACCACCAUCACCUUCUCCCCCACCUCCCUACUACUAUAAGUCUCCUCCACCACCAUCGCCAUCUCCUCCUCCACCAUACUAUUAUAAGUCCCCUCCUCCACCAACUCCAUCUCCACCCCCACCCUACUACUAUAAAUCUCCUCCACCACCAUCACCAUCUCCUCCACCUCCAUACUACUACAAGUCCCCUCCUCCUCCAUCGCCAUCUCCCCCUCCACCAUACUAUUACAAGUCACCACCGCCACCAUCGUCAUCACCUCCACCACCCUACUACUACAAGUCUCCUCCUCCUCCAUCACCUUCUCCCCCUUCACCAUACUACUACAAGUCACCACCACCUCCAUCGCCAUCUCCACCACCACCCUACUAUUACAAGUCCCCUCCUCCACCAUCCCCAUCACCACCUCCACCCUACUACUACAAGUCGCCUCCUCCACCGUCACCUUCUCCACCACCUCCCUACUACUAUCACUCUCCACCUCCACCAGUAAAGUCUCCUCCUCCUUAUUACUACACCUCACCACCUCCACCAGUGAAAUCACCUCCUCCACCCGUAUAUAUUUACGCUUCCCCACCUCCUCCAAUCCACUACUAAGAGUUUCCAGCAGUUCAGCCAUUCUCCGCACUCAAUCAAGUGAGUAGUUGUUUAAAUUGUAAUUUUUUUCAUAUGAGAUCAAUUUUUUUUCAUUACGACUCUAAUCUUCUAUUUGAUUGUUUCUUUUCAGAUUUUAGUUGGAAACACAAAAUAAAUGAUGGCUUCUUGAGGAAAAGAUUCAAACAUCAAUGGAACAAAGCAAUUAAUUUAUGGAAUAAGACAUUCAAUUUUUCAAUUGAAGGAUUGAUUCUAAGUUACAUGGACCAGUUUGGUUCUACUUCUCUUUUAGCCUUCUUGCACAUUGUUCUCUUAGUGCGUUCACACAUGAACGUGUCUAAGCUUUGAUGCUUCUUAGAGUUCAUUUCUUCGUAAUUUAUUGUUUUAUAUUGAGGACACUGUCCUCAUUUUAUUCAUUCCUAUUAAUUAUUGUAUGUUGUUCUUUUGUAAUACCUUCAUGUACUUUGUGCACAAAUCAAUAAAAAGAUCAAUUUCAUUACAUGCACUUUCAUUUCUUUCUUCUACAUCUUUCCCCUCUUCACAAAUGUUACAAACAAAUUAAAUUAUCUUCUCCAAAUAUAUCUAAGCAAAUUGAAGAUUUUCACCAUGCUUGUGAUCAGUUGGUACAAGAGUAUCACACUUAGGUUUCGAAUAUGUUGAGCAUGUCACAUAGCGCAUUUGGUAAUAGUUGGUACAAGAUUCAGAUAAUGCCCAUAGUAACGCACAUUUGCAUUUACCAGUAAUAAACUCUAUCAACAUCAGCGUUGUUUUAUACCAGCUAGCUUGAGUCCGCGUCAGAGAAUAUACAUAUCCUGUCUACUCUACAGAUCAACAGGAAAGGAAAGUAAAACAGGGAAAUAGAUAUUAAUUAAUUUGGCUAAAUAAGUCAAAGUUGCUGCAAUUAUUUGUAAAUGUAGGACACCACAUAAUUUAAUAUCAUAGAAUAUAUGCACUAGCCUUUUUCUAGAAAUUUCCAUGUCUUACGAGUUUUGUAAGGUGAUACAGAGAUAUGCUUAUCAGCCCACACCCUGGCAAUUGAAAACAAAAUGGUAAGAGAGUGGAAGUAUUAAAAAAUAGCACUUUCUUUCCUUUAAGCCAUUACAUGGCAUGUGUUUUUGUGUGCUUCAUAUGGUGUGUUCCCAUAUACAGCAAGUAACAAACUACUUAUUGAAAAGAAAAUGUAGAAAUAUACAAAGUGAUACAGAGAUGGACUUUAAUAAAUAAGAUGACAACUUGUAGAUCCAGCUGGUAAGAACUAUUAAUAUUCUUUUUGCACUUUGAUUAUCAAUUAGAGCAAUUGAAUUGGUCCUUUAGACAGCUCUUUACUAACAACUACUUCUAAAGGUGUGUUACUAUAAAUGCAUAGGCCAAUGAAUCCCCAAACCUGCCAAGGGUCGUCGACAUUUGCCACAAAUCUUAGUGGCAUUGGCCAUAUUGGCUGUUGCUAAUGUAGUGUCAGCAGACCCUUAUGUGUACUCUUCUCCACCACCUCCAACGUAUGAGUACAAGUCACCACCACCUCCUUCGCCUUCUCCACCGCCACCUUAUGUGUACAAAUCUCCACCUCUUCCAUCACCUUCUGCCCCACCACCAUAUGUGUAUAAGUCUCCACCUCCUCCGUCACCAUCUCCACCACCACCCUAUGUGUAUAAGUCUCCGCCACCUCCAUCGCCAUCUCCACCACCACCAUAUGUGUAUAAGUCUCCCCCACCUCCAUCGCCAUCUCCACCACCACCAUAUGUUUAUAAGUCACCACUUCCUCCUUCUCCAUCACCACCUCCACCAUAUGUGUAUAAGUCUCCACCGCCUCCAUCGCCAUCUCCACCACCACCGUAUGUGUAUAAGUCUCCACCUCCUCCGUCACCGUCUCCACCACCACCCUAUGUAUAUAAGUCUCCCCCACCACCAUCACCAUCUCCACCUCCACCAUAUUACUACAAGUCCCUUCCUCCACCAUCACCUUCACCACCACCUCCAUAUUACUACAAGUCACCACCUCCAAUGGAUGUUCUAACCAAUUUUCGCACACCUCGACUAAUUCCACCGGAUACCAGUUAGCUUUCACUAGCAACAUGUAUCAAAUAAUUUUGUCCAUCGAGACUAGAACAAAUGGCAAGAAUCACCUAGUGCUUUUUGUCUCUAAUGAAAUUUGAACCUAAGAUCUCAUGAUUUUGAAUCCACCAAGGCUUCUACAUAAUUUAAUAGUACAAAAAAUUGAUAGACAAAAACGACAUACCUAGUGAGCUCCAACAAGUAAGGUCUGAAGAGGGUAAAGUAUACGCAAACCUUACCAGUAGCUUGAGGAGGUAGAGAGAUUGUUUUCGAAAGACCCUCGACUUAAGUGUAGCAAAUUAAUGUUUAAAAUUUCUAAGUGGGCAAUAAGUAAUUUCUUAAGCCAUCACCAGAGAUGAGAAAACAAAUUUUCGUGUAGCUUUGCAAAAAAAAGAAAAAAAAAAUUACUUUGGCUUGAUAAAGGUAAAGGAAAAAAAAAAACACAAAAUUAGUCACUAUAUAGAAAAUUAGCAUUGUUUAAUUUCCUUUUUGGUAAUCCAAUUAUGAAAACAAAUUGUGAAAUCUUCCUAGGGUUCGACACUGAGCAUGGAGAAAACUCUGUUGGGAGCGCUACCCUCCGAAUGGGGUCCUACCCGGCGCGAAUCCGGAUUAGUCGGGCUCCAAUGCGAGUACCGGACACUGGAUGAAAAACCAAAAAAAAAAAAAGUGAAAUCUUAGUGAUUUUUUCUAUCUAAUGAAUCAAAAUCUGCUUUAAAGUCAUCUAUCUUAUACGUAUCUCCGAGUAUAUGAGUGUGUUCUUACUACGAAAAAGAAAUAAUAAAAUAUAUGAUUCUCGAAACUCUCACUCAUUCUCUCCUUUCUUUUGUCUAAACAAUUUCAUUGACUAUAUGUGGAACAACUCGACAUAAAUUCGACAUAAUCGACACCUCAGAAUUUGAUCACCUCAACUCCAUUAUAUUUGAAUCCAAUAACAUUUCAAACCUAUAAACUUCAAAUUCCGAAUCUGUUUGUUUCCAAAGUCAACCACACUACUAACAUAGGCCUGCUAAGAAAAAUAGAAAUAACAAAGAAACAGACAAGAAGACCAAAUAAUUCUAUGAUCUCAAUGUUCAUAAGAUGCUUCCAUGUGGCAACAGAAUAACAAAAAAACUAUGUCAAUAGAGUAAGUGGAAAUAUUCAAAACCCAUCGUCAGGCCCCUUAAAUACGCGUCAUCUUUCAAUUAGGCACCUCAAGUGAACAUUGGUUCAUUUUGGCAUCUCAAGCGGCCUUCAAGUGUGUCACUUCAACACGUUUUGCUGAAUCAGCAAAAUAAUAUUAGUGCGUGAGCUACACUCUCCGCUGAGCUGGAAAGUGACGAAUAAAAUGCGGACACGUGUUAUUUUUGUCCAAAUAAUUUAUAAAUAAUAAAUUUUAAAUAAAAAAUACCCAAAUAAUUUAUAAAUAAUUAAUUUAAAUAAAAAAUACCCCCUCCCCCUAACCUACCCACCCCACCAACCUUCUUCUUCAAACACCCCAUCCACCCCACCAAAUUUUUUUCAUCGAUCUUGCUUCGAUUUUUAAUUUUUCUUCACUGAUUUUACUUGAUUUUUAGAUUUUCUUCAUGAAUUUAACUUCAUUUUUUUCAGAUUUGCUUCAUCUAUUUUGCUUCAAUUUUUAGUUUUUUUAAUUGAUUUUGUUUGAUUUUAAUUUUUCUUCACGGAUUUAGCUUUAUUUUUUAAUUUCUUUCAUCAAUUUUGCUCCGAUUUUCAAAUUUUCUUCACUGAUUUUUCUUGGUUUUUAUGCUUCAAUUUUGAUUUUUUUUUAUUGAUUUUGUUUGAUUUCAAUUUUUCUUCACUGAUUUGGCUUUAUUUUUCUAUUUUUCUUCAUCGAUUUUGUUUGAUUUUUAGUUUUUCUUCAUUGAUGUUGCUUAUUUUUUAUUUUUAUUCAUCAAUUUUGCCCUUAAUGAUAAAAAAAAAGGUGCUUAUCAUUUAAUCAUCACAAACCUUUAAAUGCGUAGAUAAAUUUCUCUCAAUAAUUCUUACCGUUAAAUAAAUUAAGAUUGACAAAAAUAACGGAUAAAAAUGCGAAAGAAUUAUAAAUUAAUGGGCAUUGAGUUAAUAUAUUGUUUUUGGCAAGACGAACUCCUAAAUAUGUAUCUAAUUUUUAAAUCUCUCUCAAUAAUUUCUACCAUUAAAUAAGCUUAAGAUUGACAAAAAAGAUGGAUAAAAAUAAGGAAAAAGGUAUAAAUUAAUUAAAAUGAGUUAAUAUAUUGUUGGUGGGCCAAUUUGGGCGCCACAACAGCCAAAAACAGGCUUUCAUGCGCCUUUUCGGAGUGUUCCGCACGAGUUUUGCCAACCAGGCAAAAGGUGCCAAAAUGGCACACUUUAAGGCCACUUGAAGUGCCAAAAUGAACCAAUGUCCACUUGAGGUGCCUAAAUGAAAGAUCGCGUGUACUUGAGAUGCCUGGCGAUGAGUUUUCCCUAAAAAUUAUCAAUCAAUGUCUAUGCACAUUCAUAUGUUGUAUCUCAUUUUCUAUGUAGUAGGUAACAAACUACUAGUUGUUAUAAAGAUAAAAGUUGGAAAACUGGAAAUAUUCAAAGUGAUACAAAGAUGGACUUUUAAUAAACAAGAUGUAAAACUUGUAGAUCCAGCUGUUAAGAGUAGUUUAAUAUACUUUUUACACAUUGAUUGUUAAUUAGAGCUAUUGAAUUGGUCAUUUAGACAGCUCUUUACUAACAACUAGUGUGUUAAUAUAAAUAGAUAGGCCAAUGAACCCUCUAAAGGCAUCAGUUCUCAACUGAAAAACUAAACUUGUCUUCUUUUUUCUUCCCUUAACUAGCCACAUUUGGGAGGCUAGGUGGUGUAUUUUCCGGCAAAAUGAGGCUUCACGGUGGCGGCCCUGCCAAGGGUCGUCGAUAUUUGCCACAAAUUUUAGUGGCGUUGGCCAUAUUGGCUGUUGCUAAUGUAGUGUCAGCAGACCCUUAUGUGUACUCUUCUCCACCACCUCCAACGUAUGAGUACAAGUCACCACCACCUCCUUCGCCAUCUCCACCGCCACCUUAUGUGUACAAAUCUCCACCUCCUCCAUCACCUUCUCCCCCACCACCAUAUGUGUAUAAGUCUCCACCUCCUCCGUCACCAUCUCCACCACCACCCUAUGUGUAUAAGUCUCCGCCACCUCCAUCGCCAUCUCCACCACCACCAUAUGUGUAUAAGUCUCCAUCACCUCCAUCGCCAUCUCCACCACCACCAUAUGUGUAUAAGUCUCCCCCACCUCCAUCGCCAUCUCCACCUCCACCAUAUUACUACAAGUCUCCUCCCCCACCAUCACCUUCACCACCACCUCCAUAUUACUACAAGUCGCCACCUCCAUCUUCACCAUCACCUCCACCACCAUACUAUUACAAAUCUCCACCACCGCCCUCACCAUCACCACCCCCGCCAUACAAUUAUAAGUUUCCACCACCACCUUCUCCUUCACCUCCUCCACCAUACUACUACUCCUCGCCGCCGCCGCCGCCACCAAAGAAAUCACCUCCCCCACCAUAUCACUAUACUUCUCCACCACCACCUGUUAAGUCACCACCUCCUCCAUACUACUACAGCUCUCCACCACCACCAGUGAAGUCUCCCCCUCCACCAUACUACUACUCCUCGCCGCCGCCGCCGCCACCAAAGAAAUCACCUCCCCCACCAUAUCACUAUACUUCUCCACCACCACCUGUUAAGUCACCACCUCCUCCAUACUACUACAGCUCUCCACCACCAACAUCGCCAUCCCCUCCACCUCCAUACUACUACAAGUCCCCUCCUCCACCAUCUCCAUCACCACCUCCACCCUACUACUACAAGUCUCCUCCUCCUCCUUCGCCUUAUCCCCCUCCCCCAUACUAUUACAAGUCACCACCACCUCCAUCGCCAUCUCCUCCACCACCCUACUACUACAAGUCACCACCGCCACCAUCCCCAUCACCACCUCCACCCUACUACUACAAGUCUCCUCCUCCUCCUUCGCCUUAUCCCCCUCCCCCAUACUAUUACAAGUCACCACCACCUCCAUCGCCAUCUCCUCCACCACCCUACUACUACAAGUCCCCUCCUCCACCAUCUCCAUCACCACCUCCACCCUACUACUACAAGUCGCCUCCUCCACCGUCACCUUCUCCACCACCUCCCUACUAUUACCACUCUCCACCUCCACCAGUAAAGUCUCAUCCUCCUCCUUAUUACUACAGCUCACCACCACCACCAGUGAAAUCACCUCCUCCACCCGUAUAUAUUUACGCUUCCCCACCACCUCCAGUCCACUACUAAGAGUUUCCAGCAGUUCAGCCAUUCUCCACGCUCAAUCAAGUGAGUAGUUGUUUAAAUUAGUAAAAAAAAUUUCAUAUGAGAUCAACUUUUUUUAGCACGGCUCUAAUCUUCUAUCUGAUUGUUUCUUUUUAGAUUUUAGUUGGAAACACAAAAUAAAUGAUGGCUUCUUGAGGAAAAGAUUCAAACGUCAAUGGAACAAAGCAAUUAAUUUAUGGAAUAAGACAUUCAAUUUUUCAAUUGAAGGAUUGAUUCUUAGUUACAUGGACCAGUUUGGUUCUACUUCUCUUUUAGCCUUCUUGCACAUUGUUCUCUUAGUGCGUUCACACAUGAACGUAUCUAAGCUUUGAUGCUUCUUAGAAUUCAUUUCUUCGUAAUUUAUUGUUUUAUAUUGAGGACACUGUCCUCAUUUUAUUCAUUCCUAUUAAUUAUUGUAUGUUGUUCUUUUGUAAUUCCUUCAUGUACUUUGUGCACAAAUCAAUAAAAAGAUCAAUUUCAGUACAUUCACUCUCUUUUCUUUCUUCUAUAUCUUUCCCCUCACAAAUGUUACAAACAACUUAAAUUAAUCUUCUCCAAAUAUAUCUAAGCAAAUUGGAGAUGAAAAUACCUACAAUUAUUUUAAAAUAUUUAAUAGUUUAAUGUAGAAGUAGUUCAUGACAUGACUAUAAGUAAAACACCUAAAAAAGCACCUCUGUGUUACCAAAAUGAACUGGGUACCUCUUACCAAAAUUAUAAAGAUGACAAUACAAAAAUGGAAGAAAAGCCAGUUUCCUUUUCUUUUUUUUUUGGUUGCAACAGAAAUUCUAACUGUUGCCUCCACAUGCAGUUGAUCUCAUCAUUGAGCAUUCACACGAAUUUCUAAGAUUAUUACAAUGAAGAGAUCAAAAAGGCUAUAAUAUGAUGCUUUGAAUAGUAAGCAAAAAUGAAUGAAAAUAUCAAAAUACUUUUGAAUAACUUAUUUCAUGAACUGACGCUUCUGAAAUAAAUAAUAAAACAUUUCCGAAUAACGAAAAUUUGUGAAACUUAUUUUUAAAUUACAUAAAUACACUCGGUAUGUUGUUUACACUGGCCUCCCCAUACCACUUAUCGGAUUACACCGGGUAUGUUGUUCUUGCAGUUGUAAAUGCGGAUUUGGUGAAACAAUUCAAUGUCAAAAAAAAAAGAAAAAAGAACAACAUUUCUAGUUGGCAACAAAUAAUUUGAAGCAAUCAAUAUACAUAUUUGUAAUUUAUAAACCAUGUAUCCAUCAGACCAUCACAGUAAAAAAGGUUAUUUUAAGUUAUCAAGGUUCUUGCGACCAACUAGUGAUCCAAAAAGAAAAUAAAUCACCUAUUCACUAACAAAUUGAAGAUUUUCACCAUGCUUGUGAUCAGUUGGUACAAGAGUAUCAUACUUAGGUUUCGAAUAUGUUGAGCAUGUCACAUGGCGCAUUUGGUAAAAGUUGGUAAAAGAUUCAGACAAUGCCACAGUAACGCACCUUAGCAUUUACCAGUAAUAAACUCUAUCAACAUCAGCGUUGUUUUAUACCAGCUAGCUUGAGUCCGCGUCAGAGAAUACACAUAUCCUGUCUCCUCUACAACAGGAAAGUAAAACAGGGGAAGAGAUAUUAAUUAAUUUGGCUAAAUAAGUCAAAGUUGCUGCAAUUAUUUGUAAAUGUAGGACACCACAUAAUUUAAUAUCAUAGAAUAUAUGCACUAGCCUUUUUCUAGAAAUUUCCAUGUCUUACAAGUUUUGUAAGGUGAUACAGAGAUAUGCUUAUCAGCCCACACCCUGGCAAUUGAAAACAAAAUGGCAAGAGAGUGGAAGUAUUAAAAAAUAGCACUUUCUUUCCUUUAAGCCAUUACAUGGCAUGUGUUUUUGUGCGCUUCAUACGUUGUGUUCCCAUAUACAGCAAGAAACAGACUACUAGUUGUUAUAAAGAUAAAGUUGGAAAACUGGAAAUAUUCAAAGUGAUACAAAGGGAGACUUUUAAUAAAUAAGCUGUAAAACUUGUAGAUCCAGCUGUUAAGAGUUGUUUAAUUUACACUUUGAUUGUUAAUUAGAGCAAUUGAAUUGGUCAUUUAGACAGCUCUUUACUAACAACUAGUUUUCAAGGUGUGUUACUAUAAAUACAUAGGCCAAUGAAUCCUCUAAAGGCAUCACUUCUCAACUGAAAAAACUAAACUUGUCUUCUUUCUUCUUCCCUUGACUAGCCACAUUUGGGAGGCUAGGUGGCGUAUUUUCCGGAAAAAUGAGGCUUCACGGUGGCGGCCCUGCCAAGGGUCAUCGACAUUUGCCACAAAUCUUAGUGGCAUUGGCCAUAUUGGCUGUUGCUAAUGUAGUGUCAGCAGACCCUUAUGUGUACUCUUCUCCACCACCUCCAACGUAUAAGUCACCACCACCUCCUUCGCCUUCUCCACCGCCACCUUAUGUGCACAAAUCUCCACCUCCUCCAUCACCUUCUCCCCCGCCUCCAUAUGUUUAUAAGUCACCACCUCCUCCUUCUCCAUCUCCACCACCACCUUAUGUGUAUAAGUCUCCCCCACCACCAUCACCAUCUCCACCUCCACCAUAUUACUACAAGUCCCCUCCUCCACCAUCACCUUCACCACCACCACCAUAUUACUACAAGUCGCCACCUUCACCAUCAUCUCCACCACCAUACUAUUACAAAUCUCCACCCCCGCCCUCACCAUCACCACCCCCGCCAUACAAUUAUAAGUCUCCGCCACCACCUUCUCUUUCACCUCCUCCACUAUACUACUACAAAUCUCCACCACCUCCUUCACCAUCUCCUCCUCCACCUUAUUACUACAAGUCUCCACCUCCUCCAUCUCCAUCACCACCUCCACCUUACUACUACAAGUCUCCACCACCACCGGUUAAGUCACCUCCUCCCCCAUACUAUAACAGCUCUCCACCACCACCAGUGAAGUCUCCCCCUCCACCAUACUACUACUCCUCGCCACCACCACCAAAGAAAUCACCUCCCCCACCAUAUCACUAUACUUCUCCACCACCACCUGUUAAGUCACCGCCUCCUCCAUACUAUUACAGCUCCCCACCACCACCAAAGAAAUCACCUCCUCCGCCAUAUUACUACAGUUCCCCACCAUCACCAGUGAAGUCACCUCCAACUCCAUACUACUACAAGUCUCCACCACCACCACCAAAGAAAUCUACUCCCCCACCAUACUACUACACUUCACCACCACCACCAACUCAUUACUAUCCUCCACAUCAUCAAUUCGUGGUCAAAGUUGUCGGAAAAGUCUAUUGUUUUAGAUGCUACGACUGGAAGCACCUAGAAAUGUCUCAUGGCAAGAAACACCUGAAAGGUAUCACAAUAUAAUUUAUACAACACUCGCAUUCUUUAUUUUCCUUUAAAAUAUCAUCAAAAAUAUAUUUAACUAUAUAUUAUCUUUUUUGUUGCUUUGCUCCUUACGCUCUUAAAAGAAUUCAUAAAUGUGUAUCUUUAUUUGGAUCUUUGAUCCAUUUAUGUUUUUCCAAAUCUGAAGUAACAUUAAAAUUUAAAAAGUCAAGAAAUUUUUUAAGGCAAGGACCAUAUCUAUAAUUGUGACUAUAGAGUAAAACAUAUUGAAAAAGAAGGUAUUCUGUUCUUGCUUGCAAAUGAAGAAUUAAUAUCGAGUGUAAUUCAUUCUCACAUUGGCAGACAAAAGUCUGUACACAUUGGCACACAAGUUGCCAUUAACAUGCAGUUUAUUUCCCUUAUUAGAUUACAAAAUAUUUUUUAUAGUGUGAUGAGAAGGUUUGUUUUAUUUCAUAUUAUGAGGUGAAAAGUGCUCGGAUCUAAAUGAUCAUCAUUAGUAUUGGAGUUAAUUAAUGUUUUCUUUUAUGGAUUAGGUGCGGUUGUUGAAGUGACUUGCAAGGCUGGUGACAAGAAAAUUGUGAGUUAUGGUACCACUAAGAUCAAUGGAAAAUUUAGCGUCACAGUAGAAGGAUUUGAAUAUCGCAAAUAUGGAGCAAAGGCUUGCAAGGCUAAACUCCACAAUGCUCCAAAGGACUCAAAGUGCAACAUUCCUACAAACCUUCAUUGGGGAAUAAAGGGUGCUAACCUCAAAGUGAAAUCAAAGAAUAGUUAUGAAGUUGUACUUUAUGCAAAACCAUUUGCUUAUGGAUCUAAAACACCUUAUGCAGAAUGCCAAAAGCCCAAGCCUACACCUGCUCCAUACUAUUAUAAAUCUCCUCCACCUCCAUCACCGACUUAUGUGUACAAGUCACCACCUCCUCCAUCACCAAAGUAUGUGUAUAAUUCACCACCUCCCCCAACCCCGACAUAUGUUUAUAAGUCUCCACCACCACCUGCCUACUAUUACAAAUCACCACCACCACCAACUAAGUCUCCACCUCCACCAUCACCAAAACCUGCACCAGUAUACUAUUAUAAAUCACCACCACCCCCAUCACCGUCACCACCCCCACCUUACUACUACAAGUCCCCGCCACCACCAUCACCGAAACCUGCACCUGUUUACUAUUUUAAAUCACCACCACCCCCAUCACCGUCACCACCCCCACCUUACUACUACAAGUCCCCGCCACCACCAUCACCGAAACCUGCACCUGUUUACUAUUUUAAAUCACCACCACCCCCAUCACCGUCACCACCCCCACCUUACUACUACAGGUCCCCACCACCACUAUCACCAUCUCCUCCACCUCCAUACUACUACAAGUCCCCUCCUCCUCCAUCGCCAUCUCCCCCUCCACCAUACUAUUACAAGUCACCACCGCCACCAUCCCCAUCACCUCCACCACCCUACUAUUACAAGUCUCCUUCUCCUCCAUCGCCUUCUCCCCUUCCCCCAUACUACUACAAGUCCCCUCCUCCACCAUCCCCAUCACCACCUCCACCCUACUACUACAAGUCUCCUCCUCCUCCAUCGCCUUCUCCCCUUCCCCCAUACUACUACAAGUCCCCUCCUCCACCAUCCCCAUCACCACCUCCACCCUACUACUAUAAGUCGCCUCCUCCACCAUCACCUUCUCCACCACCUCCCUACUACUACCACUCUCCACCUCCACCAGUAAAGUCUCCUCCUCCUCCUUAUUACUACAGCUCACCACCACCACCAGUGAAAUCACCUCCUCCACCCGUAUAUAUUUAUGCUUCCCCACCUCCUCCAGUCCACUACUAAGAGUUUCCAGCAGUUCAGCCAUUCUCCGCGCUCAAUCAAGUGAGUAGUUGUUUAAAUUAGUAAAAAAAAUUUCAUAUGAGAUCAACUUUUUUUCAUUACAGCUCUAAUCUUCUAUUUGAUUGUUUCUUUUCAGAUUUUAGUUGGAAACACAAAUUAAAUGAUGGCUUCUUGAGGAAAAGAUUCAAACAUCAAUGGAACAAAGCAAUUAACUUAUGGAAUAAGACAUUCAAUUUUUCAAUUGAAGGAUUGAUUUUUAGUUACAUGGACCAGUUUGGUUCUACUUCUCUUUUAGCCUUCUUGCACAUUGUUCUCUUAGUGCGUUCACACAUGAACGUAUCUAAGCUUUGAUGCUUUUUAGAGUUCAUUUCUUCGUAAUUUAUUGUUUUAUAUUGAGGACCACUGUCCUCAUUUUAUUCAUUCCUAUUAAUUAUUGUAUGUUGUUCUUUUGUAAUACCUUCAUGUACUUUGUGCACAAAUCAAUAAAAAGAUCAAUUUCAUUACAUUCACUUUCUUUUCUUUCUUCUGCAUCUUUCCCCUCUUCACAAAUGUUACAAACAAAUUAAAUUAAUCUUCUCCAAAUAUAUCUAAGCAAAUUGGAGAUGAAAAUACCUACAAUUAUUUUAAGAUAUUUAAUAGUUUAAUGUAGAAGUAGUUCAUGACAUAACUAUAAGUAAAACACCUAAAAAACACCUCUGUGUUACCACAAUGAACUAGUUACUUCUUACCAAAAUGGAAGAAAAGCCAUUUUCCUUUUUCUUGUUUUAGUGUGGCAACAGAAAUUUUAACUGUUGCCUCCACAUGCAGUUGAUCUCAUCAUUGAGCAUUCACACGAAUUUCUAAAGAUUAUUAUAAUGAAGAGAUUAAGAAGGCUAUAAUAUGAUGCUUUGAAUAGUAACCAAAAAUGAAUGAAAAUAUCAAAAUACUUUUGAAUAACUUAUUUCAUGAACUGAUGCUUCUGAAAUAAAUAAUAAAACAUUUCAGAAUAAAGAAAAUUUGUCAAACUUAUUUUUCAAUAACAUAAAUACUCUUGGUAUGUUGUUUACACUGGCCUCCCAUACCACUUGUCAGAUUACACUUAGUAUGUUGUUCUUGUUGUUGUAAACUCGGAUUUGGUGAAACAAUUCAAUGUCAAAAAAAAAAAAACAUCAUUUCAGUUGGCAACAUAUAAUUUAAAGCAAUCAAUAUACAUAUUUGUAAUUUAUAAACCAUGUGUCCAUCAGACCAUCUCAGUAAAAAAGGUUUUUUUAAGUUAUCAAGGUUAUUGCGACCAACUAGUGAUCCAAAAGAAAAUAAAUCAUCUAUUCGCUAACAAAUUGAAGAUUUUCACCAUGCUUGAGAUCAGUUGGUACAAGAGUAUCACACUUAGGUUUCGAAUAUGUUGAGCAUUUCACAUAGCGCAUUUGGUAAUAGUUGGUACAAGAUUCAGGCAAUGCCACACCUUAGCAUUUACCAGUAAUAAACUCUAUCAAUGCCAGCGUUGUUUUAUACCAGCUAGCUUGAGUCCGCGUCAGAGAAUAUACAUAUCCUGUCUCCUCUACAGAUCAGCAGGAAAGUAAAACAGGGGAAAAGAUAUUAAUUAAUUUGGCUAAAUAAGUCAAAGUUGCUGCAAUUAUUUGUAAAUGCAGGACACCACAUGAUUUAAUAUCAUAGAAUAUAUGCACUAGCUUUUUUCUAGAAAUUUUCAAACUUAUAAGUUUUUAAAGGUGAUAUAGAGAUAUGCUUAUCAGCCCACACCCUGGCAAUUGAAAACAAAAUGGCAAGAGAGUGGAAGUAUUAAAGAAUAGCACUUUCUUUCCUUUAAGCCAUUACAUGGCAUGUGUUUUUGUGUGCUUCAUAUGGUGUGUUCCCAUAUACAGCAAGUAACAAACUACUUAUUGAAAAGAAAAUGUAGAAAUAUACAAAGUGAUACAGAGAUGGACUUUAAUAAAUAAGAUGACAACUUGUAGAUCCAGCUGGUAAGAACUAUUAAUAUUCUUUUUGCACUUUGAUUAUCAAUUAGAGCAAUUGAAUUGGUCCUUUAGACAGCUCUUUACUAACAACUACUUCUAAAGGUGUGUUACUAUAAAUGCAUAGGCCAAUGAAUCCCCAAAGUGCAUCAGUUCUCAACAGUAAAAACUAAAAGUUGUCUCUUUUACUCUUCAGUUAACUAGCCACAUUUGGAGGCUAGGUGGUAUAAUUAUCCGGCGAAAUGAGAAUUCAAGGUGGCGGCCCUGCCAAGGGUCGUCAAUAUUUGUCACAAAUUUUAGUGGCAUUGGCCAUUUUGGCUGUUGCUAAUAUAGUAUCGGCAGAUCCUUAUGUAUACUCUUCGCCUCCACCUCCACCGUAUGUGUACAAGUCACCACCACCUCCUUCUCCUUCUCCACCACCACCUUAUGUGUACAAAUCUCCACCUCCUCCAUCACCUUCUCCCCCGCCUCCAUAUGUUUAUAAGUCACCUCCUCCUCCUUCUCCACCUCCACCUCCACCAUAUGUGUAUAAGUCUCCACCGCCUCCAUCGCCAUCUCCACCUCCACCAUAUUACUACAAGUCCCCUCCUCCACCAUCACCUUCACCACCACCACCAUAUUACUACAAGUCUCCACCUCCACCUUCACCAUCACCUCCACCACCAUAUUAUUACAAAUCUCCACCACCGCCCUCACCAUCACCACCACCACCAUACUAUUAUAAGUCUCCACCGACACCUUCUCCUUCACCUCCUCCACCAUACUCCUAUAAAUCUCCACCACCUCCUUCACCAUCUCCUCCGCCACCUUAUUACUACAAGUCUCCACCUCCUCCAUCUCCAUCACCACCACCACCAUAUUAUUACAAGUCUCCUCCUCCACCAUCCCCAUCACUACCCCCACCUUACUUCUACAAGUCUCCACCUCCACCGGCUAAGUCACCUCCUCCCCCAUACUACUACAGUUCUCCACCACCAGCAGUGAAGUCUCCCCCUCCACCAUAUUACUACUACUCACCACCACCACCAAAGAAAUCACCUCCCCCACCAUAUCACUAUACUUCUCCACCACCACCUGUUAAGUCACCGCCUCCUCCAUACUAUUACAGCUCCC